This 1292-nucleotide ribosomal RNA is filed under the name Acinetobacter seohaensis. Its description in RNAcentral is "bacterial SSU rRNA". It matches the Rfam family "Bacterial small subunit ribosomal RNA", at positions 61 to 1347 of the family's 1533-position model. The record is from RNAcentral. Lineage: Bacteria; Pseudomonadati; Pseudomonadota; Gammaproteobacteria; Moraxellales; Moraxellaceae.
GUCGAGCGGGCGAGGUUGCUUCGGUAACUGAGCUAGCGGCGGACGGGUGAGUAAUGCUUAGGAAUCUGCCUAUUAGUGGGGGACAACAUUCCGAAAGGGAUGCUAAUACCGCAUACGUCCUACGGGAGAAAGCAGGGGAUCAUUUGACCUUGCGCUAAUAGAUGAGCCUAAGUCGGAUUAGCUAGUUGGUGGGGUAAAGGCCUACCAAGGCGACGAUCUGUAGCGGGUCUGAGAGGAUGAUCCGCCACACUGGGACUGAGACACGGCCCAGACUCCUACGGGAGGCAGCAGUGGGGAAUAUUGGACAAUGGGGGGAACCCUGAUCCAGCCAUGCCGCGUGUGUGAAGAAGGCCUUUUGGUUGUAAAGCACUUUAAGUGGGGAGGAGGCUUACCUGGUUAAUACCUGGGCUAAGUGGACGUUACCCACAGAAUAAGCACCGGCUAACUCUGUGCCAGCAGCCGCGGUAAUACAGAGGGUGCGAGCGUUAAUCGGAUUUACUGGGCGUAAAGCGCGCGUAGGUGGUUAAUUAAGUCAAAUGUGAAAUCCCCGAGCUUAACUUGGGAAUUGCAUUCGAUACUGGUUAGCUAGAGUAUGGGAGAGGAUGGUAGAAUUCCAGGUGUAGCGGUGAAAUGCGUAGAGAUCUGGAGGAAUACCGAUGGCGAAGGCAGCCAUCUGGCCUAAUACUGACACUGAGGUGCGAAAGCAUGGGGAGCAAACAGGAUUAGAUACCCUGGUAGUCCAUGCCGUAAACGAUGUCUACUAGCCGUUGGGGGAUUUGAUCCUUUAGUGGCGCAGCUAACGCGAUAAGUAGACCGCCUGGGGAGUACGGUCGCAAGACUAAAACUCAAAUGAAUUGACGGGGGCCCGCACAAGCGGUGGAGCAUGUGGUUUAAUUCGAUGCAACGCGAAGAACCUUACCUGGCCUUGACAUAGUAGAAACUUUCCAGAGAUGGAAAGGUGCCUUCGGGAAUCUACAUACAGGUGCUGCAUGGCUGUCGUCAGCUCGUGUCGUGAGAUGUUGGGUUAAGUCCCGCAACGAGCGCAACCCUUUUCCUUACUUGCCAGCAUUUCGGAUGGGAACUUUAAGGAUACUGCCAGUGACAAACUGGAGGAAGGCGGGGACGACGUCAAGUCAUCAUGGCCCUUACGGCCAGGGCUACACACGUGCUACAAUGGUCGGUACAAAGGGUUGCUACACAGCGAUGUGAUGCUAAUCUCAAAAAGCCGAUCGUAGUCCGGAUCGCAGUCUGCAACUCGACCUGCGUGAAGUCGGAAUCGCUAGUAAUCGCGG